UGUGAUUAAUGUUUAAAUCAAUAGACUUUGAGCAAAGCAGAUGACCUUCCAUAAGGUGGGUGAACCUUAUCUAAUCAGUUGAAGGUCUUCAGAAAAAAGACCGAAGUCCCCAGAAGAAGAAGGAAUUCAACUUCCAGACUGCCUUUGGACUCAAGACUGCAACAUGAACAACUGCCAGCAUUUCCAACCUACUGGCCUGCGCUGCAAAUUUUGAACUUGCCAGCCUCCAUAACUCACUUGUUCCUGAUGAUGGAUGCUCCAAAGAUCCAGGACCCUGAGUGAGAACAAUGUGGAACAGAGUCCCUCACCAAUCCAGAAUGAAGUGGAAAUUGGAAGACCUGGAGCCCAUUAGAGGACAAUUCUUUUGCCUCCAAGGGUUGUAACUUUUCCCCAGCAGAUACUGGACUCCAUCGUGCAGACAACCUUCUUUAGUGAGAAAAUGCACAACUGACUUCCAAUCAGCUAACAUUUCUUCCCUGCUUGAGUCAUGACUGAGUUAU
RNAcentral lists this long non-coding RNA (500 nucleotides) under Homo sapiens (human). RNAcentral describes it as "HSALNT0375068". Lineage: Eukaryota; Metazoa; Chordata; Mammalia; Primates; Hominidae. The record is from RNAcentral.